This 390-nucleotide ribosomal RNA is filed under the name uncultured bacterium. RNAcentral describes it as "bacterial SSU rRNA". It matches the Rfam family "Bacterial small subunit ribosomal RNA", at positions 28 to 417 of the family's 1533-position model. The record is from RNAcentral.
GACGAACGCUGGCGGCGUGCUUAACACAUGCAAGUCGAGCGGUAAGGCCCUUUCGGGGGUACACGAGCGGCGAACGGGUGAGUAACACGUGGGUGACCUGCCCUCAGCUCUGGGAUAAGCCUGGGAAACCGGUCGUAUAACUGGAUAUGACUCCAUGGACGCAUGUUGUGGGGUGGAAAGCCUUGUGCGGCUGAGGAUGGGCCCGCGGCCUAUCAGCUUGUUGGUGGGGUGANGGCCUACCAAGGCGACGACGGGUAGCCGGCCUGAGAGGGCGACCGGCCACACUGGGACUGAGACACGGGCCCAGACUCCUACGGGAGGCAGCAGUGGGGAAUCUUGCGCAAUGGGCGAAAGCCUGACGCAGCGACGCCGCGUGAGGGAUGACGGCCU